UCCCUGGUGGUCCAGAGGUUAAGACUCUGAGCUUCCAUUUCAGAGGGUACUGGUUUGAUCCCUGUUUGGGGAA
RNAcentral lists this transfer RNA (73 nucleotides) under Capra hircus (goat). It matches the Rfam family "tRNA". From Rfam's summary of the family: Transfer RNA (tRNA) molecules are approximately 80 nucleotides in length. Their secondary structure includes four short double-helical elements and three loops (D, anti-codon, and T loops). Further hydrogen bonds mediate the characteristic L-shaped molecular structure. tRNAs have two regions of fundamental functional importance: the anti-codon, which is responsible for specific mRNA codon recognition, and the 3' end, to which the tRNAs corresponding amino acid is attached (by aminoacyl-tRNA synthetases). tRNAs cope with the degeneracy of the genetic code in two manners: having more than one tRNA (with a specific anti-codon) for a particular amino acid; and 'wobble' base-pairing, i.e. permitting non-standard base-pairing at the 3rd anti-codon position. RNAcentral also lists the same sequence under 1 other name. Lineage: Eukaryota; Metazoa; Chordata; Mammalia; Artiodactyla; Bovidae. The record is from Rfam by way of RNAcentral.